This 399-nucleotide ribosomal RNA is filed under the name Triticum aestivum (bread wheat). RNAcentral's name for it is "partial small subunit ribosomal RNA". The record is from RNAcentral. Lineage: Eukaryota; Viridiplantae; Streptophyta; Magnoliopsida; Poales; Poaceae.
AUGAAUGACUUAAGCUGGAACUGCCGGGGAGGGGGGAAUUCCCAGACAAUUCGUGAGUUAGCGAGUAUCUCACAGUCGCAUUCCCCCACUAUGGUUUUCUUGUGUGAGACUAGACAAAAGGCAGAGAAGAUGAGGAGAAUCUGAAACCGUAUUGGACUGAAGGGUUUUUCGGGAGUUGAUAGUAAUGGUAUGAGCGCCGGAUUGGCUUUUUUCUGGCAUGAGUCAUAUGAGGUGGAAAUUCUAGAUAAGGAGGAUCGGUACAUCGACGCCCUAGUGCGUACGCAGGAGGGUGCAGACAGGUGGAGGAUUACAUGUGUAUAUGGAGACCCGCGGGUGGAAAAUAGGCAUCUCAUGUGGGAACAACUACAACGUUUGAAGAACACAAAUGAUUUGCCAUGA